UUUUUAUGUUGUCUUUUCUUGUCCACAAGUAUGGAAAGAUUCUAAUUCCUUCCAAGAAAUUUUUUCAUUUUGUGAGCUUGUUGGUGUAUCUUAAUGGAAGAUGAGUUUGGAUGAUGUGAUUAUUUUUAGCUUAAUGAUUUAAUGAUGAUGGUAAUUUGCAUGUGCAACUAGAAAGGGGUCAGAUGCUGACAGUAUCUCCAUAUCUAGUAAAGAGGUGCAAACAACAUUUCCAUCAUCUACAACAGUAUGGAAUCGACCUCAUACUUGGUUGUAAUGGCUUCAUCUGGGUUGGUGAACAUGUCGAAACUAAAGAUAACAUGGUAGAAGACGAACCGAUUAAACCCCCAAACAAAUCACAAACAACCCUUAAAGAACAAGAAUACACCUACACUCCAUUAAAAACCAGGCAAAACAUAUGCAGGGUUGCAAAUGCUAUCAGGGUGUUGUCAACAUUGGGAUUUAGCAUUACACUUGAUGUGAUUCAGGAGGUUGUUGAUCUGAGCAGCUCCAAGGGCCUGAAUAUACAUGAGAUGCUUACUGCUGAGUUUUCUGUCUUGGUUGCUGAAAGAGAAGCUGAGCGAAUAAGCUCCUCAACCUCAACUCGAAGAAAACGAUAAAUUCAUAUAUAUAUAUAUAUAUAUAUAUAUAGGGUUAGGUUAUUUUGUUUCUAGUAACUAUUAUGUGCCAGNACCAUUAAAUAGUUUCUACUCCUUACUCCUUAAUACAAAACUAAUCUGUAUCAUUCCUAUUGAAGGAUUUAUUUGGUUGUGGAAUGUGGAUCAACUUGAAUUUUUUCUCUUUCUUUCACAGCUGUAACAAUUUUGUUUCUGCUAGCAUUUGCAUUUCAUGAGAUUUACAACACAGUUUAUAUCUUUUACUUGUAAAUGCUUGAUUUUCUUGCAGCCAUUAUGAAUUUAUGAUACAUGAUAGGUGUGCAGCUGUAAUGAAAAUAUGUCAAAUACUCACUUAACUUGAAGUGGGCAAGGUACCCAUACAAUUAAGAGGAAGAAAUGGUCUUUUAGAGUUGUAGGUUCUUUUUUAGUGCAAGGUAAAAUGACGGUUUAUUUGAUGUAAGAAUCUAAAAAACCCCCCAAAAAUGAAAAUGAAAAAAAGAAAAACUUAUAUAGACAAAUCUAAUAUUGUCUUCCAACAAUUAUUUAGGUGUUUAUCUUUUGGGAAAUAUAAAAAAACUUAAAGGGUAAGUGGGUAAAUGUGUUAUAUAGCUAGUUCUAUAUUUUGGUUUAGGUUAUAGAAACGACAUUUUUGGGCUGUUUUCCAUUUUAGGGGUUUUAUUAGGUUUUGCUCCUUUCUAUUGGGUUAUUGCCAAUGGAUUAUUAAAUUUUCCAUAUAUUUUAUGAUUUCUCAUUACUAUAUUUACAUGGGUGUCGAAAUAGUAUACAGCCAUAGAAGACGGACUAAAUAAAAUAUAAGUCAUUAACGGGUGGCCAAUUUCACAGAUGAGUCAUAGAAGAGGGACUAAAUCAAAUAUAAGUCAUAUAUAAGGGGCCAAAUUCACAGUUAAGUCAUAGGAGAGGAGGGACUAUAUCACAGAUAUAAUCAAAAGAGUGAAGUGGAUUACUCCUUGUACUUACGAAUACAACUAUCUGCUCCUCACGUCGACUCUACCCUGCUCGCCGUCGCCUCCCCUUUUGAAGUCACCGGCCGGAGACAUUCGAUAGCCACAACUCCGUCGCACCCAACCCCAGGUUCUAUUCUUCCUUCUUUUCUCUUCUUUAUUCUUUUUUCUGCUUUCUUUGAAAUCGCUGUUGGUCGAUUUCAUUUUAUGCAAAAGGUUUUCUUUUCCUGUGAUUUCAAUCUUCACAUACGAAAUUAGUAUUUUUUUUUUUAAUAUCAAUCGUCAAGUUCAAGUUCUUCCCUGGAAUUCUGUUAGGUGAUUUCUUACUUUCAUUGAUAAUUGAUUUCUACGACUAUUUUGCUGCUACUGAUUUGCUAAUUGUGUUUAAUGUUUAAAUGUAUGAAAUCUGAUGUGUCUAGUGUUCUGUAAAAAACUGGAAUGUGUUUGCAUGCGAUCUGUUUGAUCAAUGCCUGAGAGGGAUAGUACUUAUGCAUGUUUUCACUUAUCAAUUAUAAUAUACAUAUUUUAAUGUUUAACUUUUGAAUUUUUAUGUUGGUAACUUGGGAAUGAACAAUAGAUGCUACGGAGUUGCUACUGAUUUCCUCCUAGUGUUUCUGAAUGAUGUUCCUAAGAUGCUUAUAUGUAAAAGGAAGCCUUUUUUGGUCAUUUUCCGGAUAUAAGCAGUUUUUUUUGCCAACCACUAAAAAGUGUUUAUCAGCUUAUAGCGUUUUGAUACCUAAUAAGCUAAUCCAAACACUUUUGUAGAAAGUCAAUUUUGACACUGCUGGAAGCUAAUAAGCUAUAAGUUAAAAGGUGCUUAUCAUUUUAAAUAAGCUUAGCCAAACACCCUCUUAAUAUCACUGCUUGUUAGCAAUUUGGAACAGAAAUAGAAAAGAAUAGAAGGGAUAAACUAUUAACUCAAUUACAAGCUCUAUCAUAAUCGCUAUUUCUGUAACCAUUACAUUUCUAUGUUUCUUCUAAACAGUUAUCCUUAAAUCAUCUGUUUCGUGUUCGCAGUUUCGUGUACAUUUCUGUAUGUUGGAUUGUUGUUCAGCUUUCAAAUCUUCUUGUCACUGAUUAUCCUUAGGGUUUUAUUUUUCUGUUUGUGUUGAAUUUAUGCUUAAAGUUUACAAUUUGGAAGAGAAAUAGAAAAUAAUAGAAGGCAUGUAUGCCUAUAGCAUCAUGUAUUAUCAUAAUCUUUCUUUUAGAAGUUACAUUUCCAUGUUUUUUGUACACAAAGGACCUUGAAUUCAUCUGAAUGCAUUUGUAGUUUUGUUCUACACUUUCGUGAACAAACCUAAUUUAUGUAUGUUCAAUGCACGGUUCAAAUUUCUCAUCUUUUUUGUAGUGUUUAUCCUUAAGCUUCUUAAUUUUCUGUUUAUAUUGCAUUUAUACCUAAUAUCACGGGCCUAAACCACCUGAUGCUCACCCCUUGUUUAUGCGUCUGUUUUCUUACAACAGAUUCAAACACAAUUCAAGAGAUGAGAGGCAUUGAGCUAUCAUUGAAUCAAACACAGAAACUAAGGCUGCAAAGAGCACUCGAACUGUUGGAAUCUCUGUCUUCAGGAACCAAUUCUGAUGCUUCCGUCACUGUGGCCGAUUCUAUCCCCGUUAACCAAGAAGAUGGUGUUCUCAAGUAAAUAUAAACCCUAACUAAUGUUUACUUUCCAUAUGCAAAUGUUAUAUUGUGUGUUUUAUGUGAAUUUUGAUUUUUAUUUAUGUACUGCAUGUAACGAUGCCGAAAAGUAUGAGCAAGUACCAACUUUGUAAUUACAAAUCAUGUCCAUUUCCAUCCUCAUUUAUCCUAAUGUAGUCUUAGGAAUCAUGGAAUUCGUGCGUUAAGCUUAAAUUUUGAAAUGAUUUUUUCCUUCUUUUUUCCAUAUUGUAAUAUUUUUAGGGGUCAUGGGACGACAGAGCUUGAGGGUGAGGUCGUGGCAACCGUGUGUGGAGUAAUCGAACGUGUAAAUAAAUUGGUCUAUGUUCGCACUUUGAGAGCCAGGUCAUCAGCAAUAUAUUUACCUGAAUUUUUAUGUUUCAUAAGAGUGGAAGCAAAAUGCUUAAUGCUGAAUCUGAAAUUGGUGUAGGUAUAAGCCUGAGGUUGGUGAUAUCAUAGUAGGCCGUGUUAUUGAGGCAAGUCCUAACUCGAUUUACUGCUUCUGUUCACUUUAGUACUAUACCAAUAGCUUAAUCUGCCUGCAUAUAUGCAAUUCUUCUCAAGUGAAAAGAUAAAAUUUGUAGCAGUUGCGUUAAAAUGUUUGAUACAAGUGAGGAAUGUGUUGUUAAGUUGAUCAGUGGGUAGUUAGUAUUUUGGUUAACAGAGUUUUGUUUUUCAUGAUAUAUAUGAAGGUUGCUCCAAAGCGGUGGAGAUUGGAGAUUAAUUUUAGCCAAGAUGCGGUAUUGAUGCUUUCUUCAAUGAAUUUACCUGAUGGAAUCCAGGUAUAUAUCUCCCACUAUGUCAUAUGGUCAUGUUAACGUGUAUGAAUGCUCUGUGUAUGCUUCCUGGCUUAGUUUUUUUUUUUGUUAUAAUGCGAGAAAGAUGUAUGAUGUGUAGAUUAGUGUACCUAUCAACUUUGUUUCUUUGUUAUUUCCAAACUUGUUUGGAUUGUUGUGUUUUGUCUUUCUCAUGACCAUCCUUAAAUUGGCAGAGGCGACGGACUGCAGUUGAUGAGCUCAACAUGCGUACCAUUUUUGAAGAGAAUGACGUCAUCUGUGUAAGCCCAUAAAUCUCGUGCGUUUAUUCAUACAAGAAAGGCCUUUUUUUUUUUAAAACUCCAUGUAUUGUUCGAAAUGAAGUGCUGUCCGGAUAAAUGAUGUUUAUAACAUAUCUGAGAAAAGACGAUACACUUGGAUAAAGUGGAAGAAACCAAUACAUUAAUGCAAGUUUAUAUAAAAAAGUUAGAUUUGAUUAUUUUCCUGAAUUUCUCUAUUAAGUAAAAAAGAAACACUCACUUAGUUAAGUCCAUUUUGUAAAAAAGAAAGAAACAACACUUUAGUAUUCAUUGUGUUAUUUAUACUCGAUGAAUGCCCCGAUUAAUCAUUAUGCUGUUUGUUGUAGGCUGAAGUCCGUGAUUUCAUGCGUGAUGGUAGUCUACAACUGCAAGCAAGGAGCCAGAAAUAUGGAAAGGUUUGGCUUGCUUUACUAUGUAACCUAUGUGUUUAUGUUGUCUUUUCUUGUCCACAAGUAUGGAAAGAUUCUAAUUCCUUCCAAGAAAAUUUUUCAUUUUGUGAGCCUGUUGGUGUAUCUUAAUGGAAGAUGAGUUUGGAUGAUGUGAUUCUUUUUAGCUUAAUGAUUUAAUGAUGAUGGUAAUUCACUAAUUUGCACGUGCAGCUAGAAAGGGGUCAGAUGCUGACAGUAUCUCCAUAUCUAGUAAAGAGGCGCAAACAACAUUUCCAUCAUCUACAACAGUAUGGAAUCGACCUCAUACUUGGUUGUAAUGGCUUCAUCUGGGUUGGUGAACAUGUCGAAACUAAAGAUAACAUGGUAGAAGACGAACCAAUUAAACCCCCAAACAAAUCACAAACAACCCUUGAAGAACAAGAACAGACCUACACUCCAUUAGAAACCAGGCAAAACAUAUGCAGGAUUGCAAAUGCUAUCAGGGUGUUGUCAACAUUGGGAUUUAGCAUUACACUUGAUGUGAUUCAGGAGGUUGUUGAUCUGAGCAGCUCCAAGGGCCUGAAUAUACAUGAGAUGCUUGCUGCUGAGUUUUCUGUUUUGGUUGCUGAAAGAGAAGCUGAGCGAAGAAGCUCCUCAACCUCAACUCAAAGAAAACGAUAAGAUUCAUAUCUUAUAUAAUCUAUAUGUAUGGCCAUUAUAUAUAGUUUCUACUCCUUACUCCUUAAUAGAAAACUAAUCUGUAUCAUUACCAUUGAAGGAUUUAUUGGAUUGUGGAAUGUGGAUCAACUUGAAUUUUUACUCCUUACUCCGUUACAUUUCUAUGUUUCUUCUAAAAAGUUAUCCUUGAAUCAUCUGUUUCGUGCUCGCAGUUUUGUUCAAUGUGCUGUAAAUAAUUUUACAUUCCUGUAUGUUCGAUUGUUGUUCAACUUUCAAAUAUUCUUGUCACUGAUUAUCCUUAGGGUUUUAUUUUUCUGUUUGUGUUGAAUUUGUGCUUAAACUUUACAAUUUGGAAGAGAAAUAGAAAAUAAUAGAAGGCAUAGCAUAAUUUCAUGUGUUAUCAUAAUUUUUCUUUUAGAAGUUACAUUUCCAUGUUUUUUGUACACAAAGGACCUUGAAUUCAUCUAAAUGCAUUUGUAGUUUUUUUCUCCACUUUUGUGAACAAACCUAGUUUAUGUAUGUUCAAUGCACAGUUCAAAUUUCUCAUAUUUUUUUGUAGUGUUUAUCCUUAAGCUUCUUAAUUUUCUGUUUAUAUUGCAUUUAUACCUAAUAUCAUCAACUCUUAACAGUUAAGUCCAUAACUAUCAUCAUAAUUGUUAAACUAAAUUUUUUCUUGUAAACAAUGAACCUGAAGUUCAUCUGUUCUUCUGAGUAAGCCUAAUGGGUCCUCAUACUCCUUUGGAA
This 6095-nucleotide long non-coding RNA is filed under the name Lactuca sativa (garden lettuce). RNAcentral's name for it is "long non-coding RNA (LSAT_LNC001030)". Lineage: Eukaryota; Viridiplantae; Streptophyta; Magnoliopsida; Asterales; Asteraceae. The record is from RNAcentral.